GAUGAAGAACGCAGCGAAAUGCGAUAAUUAAUGUGAAUUGCAGAAUUCAGUGAAUCAUCGAGUCUUUGAACGCACAUUGCACCCCCUGGUAUUCCGGGGGGUAUGCCUGUCCGAGCGUCAUUGCUGCCCUCAAGCACGGCUUGUGUGUUGGGUCGUCGUCCCCCCGGGGACGGGCCCGAAAGGCAGCGGCGGCACCGCGUCCGGUCCUCGAGCGUAUGGGGCUUUGUCACCCGCUCUUGUAGGCCCGGCCGGCGCUGGCCGACGCUGAAAAGCAACCAACUAUUUCUCCAGGUUGACCUCGGAUCAGGUAGGGAUACCCGCUGAACUUAAGCAUAUCAAUAAGCGGAGGA
This 350-nucleotide unclassified non-coding RNA is filed under the name soil metagenome. RNAcentral describes it as "partial contains 5.8S ribosomal RNA, internal transcribed spacer 2, and large subunit ribosomal RNA". The stretch from base 1 to 120 matches the Rfam family "5.8S ribosomal RNA", at positions 35 to 154 of the family's 154-position model. The record is from RNAcentral.